UGCAGCAGAAGUUGGCUGCGGAAGUGCUG
RNAcentral lists this non-coding RNA (29 nucleotides) under Homo sapiens (human). The record is from RNAcentral. Lineage: Eukaryota; Metazoa; Chordata; Mammalia; Primates; Hominidae.